CUCCCUUCUAAUUUUGUAAUUUGGAGUUGGAUAAAGGACAGGUAAAGCCAAAAGAGAAGAGUAGGAUAAAAUCACUGAAAGCAAAAUGAGGUGAACAGACUUAAAUAUAAAAUUAUAUUGUAUUGUAGAGCUGCCUGGGCAGGUCAGUUGGUCAAGGUCUGACUCUUGAUAUCGGCUCAGGGCAUGAGUUCAGGAUCUGGAGAUCAAGCCCCACGUUGGGCUCCAUGCUCAGCAUGGAGUCUGCUUGUCCCUCCUCCCUUCUGCCCCUGCUCUCACUCUCUCUAAAUAAAUAAAUUAACAAUUAUAUUGCAUUGUGCAAACAAGCUGGUGUGUGAAAUAAAUAAUGUUGGAGACAGAUGGGGAAAUUGUUUUUAUACUAAGAGCUAAGUUUUAAGCUUGAUGCCUGUUUGAAGUAUCGUGAACAUUCUGCUUUUAUAGGAAAAGGGGUAAAAUUUAUUAAAACAUGACAAUUAUAAUAAAACACAAAUUCUGAAUUAGGUAUUAUACAAUUUUUUAUACAAAAUGUAUACUUUGCAUUUUUGUAAAUGACUGAUUUCAAAGGUUCCCGAAGUUCAUUGUCCUCUUCAUCUGACGUAAGAGCUGCAGAGCAGACAUGGAUAUGGAUGCAUCUGGGAGUGUGUCACAUGGAAACCACACACUUAGCAGAGGUUCAGAAUCUGAGUUCUCAAGUUAUGCAGGCUCUGCCAAGGCCCAGUCUGCCCUGUCCGUGACUGCAGCCCCACCAAUGACCAGGUGUGGUCCCCACAGAGGCCCUUGUAGGUAAGCUGGCAGAGGGUCUAGACUCUGAAUCUUUGAUUGGAAUUUCUAAGCUAUUCUCAUGUUUCUUCCCAGAUCUUGUUAUUGGUUUCUUUUUGUGUGGCAUUGUUAGUGGGAUCAGACCAUUCCUUUCCUUUCCUUUUGCUGUCUUUGCAUUCUUGUUUUUUAUUAUUUUUAAAAGAUUUUAUUUUUCAGUCAGCUCAGCACCCAAUGUGGGGCUCGAACUCACAACCCUGACAUCAAGAGUCACG
RNAcentral lists this long non-coding RNA (1028 nucleotides) under Canis lupus familiaris (dog). RNAcentral describes it as "lncRNA (ENSCAFG00000056218.1, ENSCAFG00845000022.1)". Lineage: Eukaryota; Metazoa; Chordata; Mammalia; Carnivora; Canidae. The record is from RNAcentral.